RNAcentral lists this ribosomal RNA (271 nucleotides) under uncultured archaeon. Its description in RNAcentral is "partial 16S ribosomal RNA". It matches the Rfam family "Archaeal small subunit ribosomal RNA", at positions 477 to 747 of the family's 1478-position model. The record is from RNAcentral.
CAGCGCCACGAGUGGCAAUCGUAUUUAUUUGGCCUAAAGCGUCCGUAGCUGGUUUAGUAAAUCUCUUGUGAAAUUGUUGAGCUUAACUCAACAGCGUGCAGGAGAGACUGCUAAGCUAGGGACCGGGAGGAGUCAGAAGUAUGCCUGGGGGAGCGGUAAAAUGCUAUAAUCCUAGGUAGACUACCUGUGGCGAAGGCGUCUGACUAGAACGGGUCCGACAGUGAGGGACGAAAGCCAGGGGAGCAAACCGGAUUAGAUACCCGAGUAGUCC